Molecule: ribosomal RNA, 468 nt
Filed under: uncultured bacterium
Lineage: Bacteria
Description: partial 16S ribosomal RNA
Rfam family: Bacterial small subunit ribosomal RNA
Source: RNAcentral
GACGAACGCUGGCGGCGUGCUUAACACAUGCAAGUCGAACGGAAAGGCCCUGCUUUUGUGGGGUGCUCGAGUGGCGAACGGGUGAGUAACACGUGAGUAACCUGCCCUUGACUUUGGGAUAACUUCAGGAAACUGGGGCUAAUACCGGAUAGGAGCUCCUGCUGCAUGGUGGGGGUUGGAAAGUUUCGGCGGUUGGGGAUGGACUCGCGGCUUAUCAGCUUGUUGGUGGGGUAGUGGCUUACCAAGGCUUUGACGGGUAGCCGGCCUGAGAGGGUGACCGGCCACAUUGGGACUGAGGGACGGCGCAGACGGCUACGGGAGGCAGCAGUGGGGAAUAUUGCGCAAUGGGCGGAAGCCUGAGGCAGCAACGCCGCGUGCGGGAUGACGGCCUUCGGGUUGUAAACCGCUUUCGCCUGUGACGAAGCGUGAGUGACGGUAAUGGGUAAAGAAGCACCGGCUAACUACGUG